This 402-nucleotide ribosomal RNA is filed under the name Eophreatoicus namarden. RNAcentral describes it as "partial 16S ribosomal RNA". It matches the Rfam family "Bacterial large subunit ribosomal RNA", at positions 1926 to 2553 of the family's 2925-position model. The record is from RNAcentral. Lineage: Eukaryota; Metazoa; Arthropoda; Malacostraca; Isopoda; Amphisopidae.
AAGAGCCGCGGUAUACUACCGUGCAAAGGUAGCAAAAUAAUUUGUUUCCUAAUUAGAAACUAGAAUGAACGGAAAAACGAGGAAAAAMCUAUCUCUAAAUUUUAUUAAAAAUUAACAUAUAAGUAAAAAGGCUUAUAUAUUCCAGCAAGACGACAAGACCCUAUAAAACUUUACCUUUUAAAAUUUAACCAAGAGACUCUCCACAAUUUAAGGGUUUAACUGGGGCGGUAUUUAUAUAAGUUAUAACUAUACAAACUAAMCCAUAAAUAAAUGAAAMCAAUAAAUCUUACAUUAAMCAAAAAAMCAAGUUACUUUAGGGAUAACAGCMCAAUAUUUUUUAAGAGCCCUUAUCGACAAAAAUGAUUGUGACCUCGAUGUUGAAUUGGGAAUACAUCUAGAAGC